Molecule: ribosomal RNA, 418 nt
Filed under: uncultured bacterium
Lineage: Bacteria
Description: bacterial SSU rRNA
Rfam family: Bacterial small subunit ribosomal RNA
Source: RNAcentral
UACGCUGGCGGCACGCCUAACACAUGCAAGUCGAACGCAGUAGCAAUACUGAGUGGCAAACGGGUGAGUAUAAUGUGGGAAUCUGCCUUUUGGUUUGGAAUAACACGGGGAAACUUGUGCUAAUACCGAAUAAGCCCUUACGGGGAAAGUUUUAAUGCCGAAAGAUGAGCCCGCACUUGAUUAGCUAGUUGGUAAGGUAAAAGCUUACCAAGGCAACGAUCAAUAGCUGUUCUUAGAGGAAGACCAGCCACAUUGGGACUGAGACACGGCCCAGACUCCUACGGGAGGCAGCAGUGGGGAAUCUUGCACAAUGGGGGAAACCCUGAUGCAGCGAUGCCGCGUGAGUGAAGAAGGCCUUUGGGUUGUAAAACUCUUUCGUCGGGGAAGAAAAUGACUGUACCCGAAUAAGAAGGUCCGG